UGGAUAAUCUGCCCUGCACAGGGGGACAGCAGCUAGAAAUGGCUGCUAAUACCGCAUAAGCCUACAGCCUCGCAUAAGGGAGUAGGAAAAGAAAUUCGGUGCAGGAUGAGUCCGCGUCUGAUUAGCUAGUUGGAGGGGUAAAAGCCCACCAAAGCAACGAUCAGUAGCUGGUCUGAGAGGACGACCAGCCACACUGGGACUGAGACACGGCCCAGACUCCUACGGGAGGCAGCAG
RNAcentral lists this ribosomal RNA (235 nucleotides) under uncultured bacterium. RNAcentral describes it as "partial 16S ribosomal RNA". It matches the Rfam family "Bacterial small subunit ribosomal RNA", at positions 118 to 354 of the family's 1533-position model. The record is from RNAcentral.